RNAcentral lists this transfer RNA (85 nucleotides) under Candidatus Aenigmarchaeota archaeon CG1_02_38_14. Its description in RNAcentral is "tRNA-Ser". It matches the Rfam family "tRNA". Rfam says of the family: Transfer RNA (tRNA) molecules are approximately 80 nucleotides in length. Their secondary structure includes four short double-helical elements and three loops (D, anti-codon, and T loops). The record is from RNAcentral. Lineage: Archaea; Nanobdellati; Candidatus Aenigmatarchaeota. RNAcentral also lists the same sequence under 2 other names.
GCCGAGGUGGCAGAAUCAGGCAAAUGCGCCAGACUUGAGAUCUGGUGUUCUCCGGAACGUUAGGGUUCAAAUCCCUACCUCGGCG